GACGAAGGAUCCAAGCGUUGUCCGGAUUUACUGGGUUUAAAGGGUGCGUAGGCGGACCGAUAAGUCAGUGGUGAAAGCCCAUAGCUCAACUAUGGAACUGCCAUUGAAACUGCCGGUCUUGAAUUCGGUUGAGGCAGAUGGAAUAUAACAUGUAGCGGUGAAAUGCUUAGAUAUGUUAUAGAACACCGAUUGCGAAGGCAGUCUGCUAAGUCGACAUUGACGCUGAGGCACGAAAGCGUGGGGAGCGAACAGG
Molecule: ribosomal RNA, 253 nt
Filed under: uncultured bacterium
Lineage: Bacteria
Description: partial 16S ribosomal RNA
Rfam family: Bacterial small subunit ribosomal RNA
Source: RNAcentral